RNAcentral lists this ribosomal RNA (1000 nucleotides) under uncultured organism. RNAcentral describes it as "bacterial SSU rRNA". It matches the Rfam family "Bacterial small subunit ribosomal RNA", at positions 356 to 1376 of the family's 1533-position model. The record is from RNAcentral.
GGGGGAUAUUGCGCAAUGGGGGCAACCCUGACGCAGCAACGCCGCGUGAAGGAUGAAGGUUUUCGGAUUGUAAACUUCUUUUAUUAAGGACGAAACUUGACGGUACUUAAUGAAUAAGCUCCGGCUAACUACGUGCCAGCAGCCGCGGUAAUACGUAGGGAGCAAGCGUUGUCCGGAUUUACUGGGUGUAAAGGGUGCGUAGGCGGCUUUGCAAGUCAGAUGUGAAAUCUAUGGGCUCAACCCAUAAACUGCAUUUGAAACUGUAGAGCUUGAGUGAAGUAGAGGCAGGCGGAAUUCCCCGUGUAGCGGUGAAAUGCGUAGAGAUGGGGAGGAACACCAGUGGCGAAGGCGGCCUGCUGGGCUUUAACUGACGCUGAGGCACGAAAGCGUGGGUAGCAAACAGGAUUAGAUACCCUGGUAGUCCACGCUGUAAACGAUGAUUACUAGGUGUGGGGGGUCUGACCCCUUCCGUGCCGGAGUUAACACAAUAAGUAAUCCACCUGGGGAGUACGGCCGCAAGGUUGAAACUCAAAGGAAUUGACGGGGGCCCGCACAAGCAGUGGAGUAUGUGGUUUAAUUCGAAGCAACGCGAAGAACCUUACCAGGUCUUGACAUCCAACUAACGAAGUAGAGAUACAUUAGGUGCCCUUCGGGGAAAGUUGAGACAGGUGGUGCAUGGUUGUCGUCAGCUCGUGUCGUGAGAUGUUGGGUUAAGUCCCGCAACGAGCGCAACCCUUGCUAUUAGUUGCUACGCAAGAGCACUCUAAUAGGACUGCCGUUGACAAAACGGAGGAAGGUGGGGACGACGUCAAAUCAUCAUGCCCCUUAUGACCUGGGCUACACACGUACUACAAUGGAUGUUAACAGAGGGAAGCAAGACAGCGAUGUGGAGCAAACCCCUAAAAACAUUCUCAGUUCAGAUUGCAGGCUGCAACCCGCCUGCAUGAAGAUGGAAUUGCUAGUAAUCGCGGAUCAGCAUGCCGUGGUGAAUACGUUCCCG